UAUUAUUACUGUACUAAGGAAUUUGGCAAAAAUUAAUUUUGCCUGUUUAUCAAAAACAUGUCUCUUUCAGUUUUUUUUUAAUAGAGAGUUGGGCCUGUUCAGUGAUUAACAUUUAACAGUCACAGUAUUACAACUGUACUAAGGUAGCAUAACAACUUGCACUAUAGAUUGGGGCUAGAAUGAAUGGUCUGACAAAACUUAUACCGUCUCUAUUUUAGUGAUUAAAAAUUAAUUUUUAUAGGGGGAACGCUUAAAUGAUUUAAAGGGAUGAAAAGACCCUAUUGAGCUUAUAUUAUUAUUGCAAUUUCAACUUUGUUUUGAAGUUCAAUACUCUGAAAAUAAAUCACCAUAGGAAGACAAUUUGGGAAUAGGUAUUUAGAACAAAAUUUGAAAUAAACAUUAAGGUUGUAAAAAGCAAAUUG
Molecule: long non-coding RNA, 422 nt
Organism: Octopus sinensis (East Asian common octopus)
Lineage: Eukaryota; Metazoa; Mollusca; Cephalopoda; Octopoda; Octopodidae
Exons: 3
Source: RefSeq, a predicted model, not a curated record